RNAcentral lists this ribosomal RNA (327 nucleotides) under uncultured eukaryote. RNAcentral describes it as "partial 18S ribosomal RNA". It matches the Rfam family "Eukaryotic small subunit ribosomal RNA", at positions 1470 to 1796 of the family's 1831-position model. The record is from RNAcentral.
CCCUUAGAUGUUCUGGGCCGCACGCGCGCUACACUGAUUCAUGCAACGAGUUUUGUCCUUGGCUGAAAGGCCUGGGUAAUCUUUUAACGUGAAUCGUGCUGGGGAUAGAUGAUUGCAAUUAUUCAUCUUCAACGAGGAAUUCCUAGUAAACGCAAGUCAUCAGCUUGCAUUGAUUACGUCCCUGCCCUUUGUACACACCGCCCGUCGCACCUACCGAUUGAAUGGUCCGGUGAAAUCUUCGGAUCUGAGAGAUGUUGGAUUAAUUUCUGACGCCUUUUGGAAAAGUCGCUUAAACCUUAUCAUUUAGAGGAAGGUGAAGUCGUAACA